This is a long non-coding RNA of Oncorhynchus nerka (sockeye salmon), 2212 nucleotides long. RefSeq lists it as uncharacterized. The record is from RefSeq and is a predicted model, not a curated record. NCBI's taxonomy places the organism in Eukaryota, Metazoa, Chordata, Actinopteri, Salmoniformes, Salmonidae. The transcript has 2 exons.
AUCCAAUAGUCAAAGGUUAAUGAAAUACAAAUGGUAUAGAGGUAAAUAGUCCUAUAAUUCCUAUAAUAACUACAACCUAAAACUUAUUACCUGGGAAUAUUGAAGACUCAUGUUAAAAGGAACCACCAGCUUUCAUAUGUUCUCAUGUUCUGAGGAAGGAACUGAAACAUUAGCUUUCUUACAUAGCACAUAUUGCACUUUCACUUUCUUCUCCAACACUGUUUUUGCAUUAUUUAAACCAAAUUGAACAUGUUUCAUUAUUUACUUGAGGCUAAAUUGAUUUUAUUGAUGUAUUAUAUUAUGUUAAAAUAAGGGUUCAUUCAGUAUUGUUGUGAUUGUCAUUAUUACAAAUAAAAAUUCAAUAAAAAUUGGCCGAUUGAUCGGUAUCAGCUUUUUUGGGCCACCAAUAAUCGGUAUCGGCGUUGAAAAAUCAUAAUCGGUCGACCUCUAGUAUGUAUGUACAGUCACUGUGGGGAUGACGUCCUAGAUGCACUUAUUGAUAAAGCCAGUGACUGAUGUGGUGUGCUCCUCAAUGCUGACAGAUAGAUGGCAGCAUUUGCGCAAUACUGAAAUUGCAAACCUCCAACAUGUAAUUCAGGAAACAGCAGAAGGAGCACGGGGAUAAGGGAUUGGCUGUUGACCUGGGCACACACAGCUGUCGUCGCUGAACAUCCAGGUUGCUGAGGCACUAUUCCAGCAGGUCUUCCGGCAUUAUGCCCCCAAUCCACAUCACAGGUAUGGAGAGCCUUUAUGGAGAAGCUCGGGGUCACGGUCAGCCUCACUUCUGGGUAUAGGCCUCAGUCCAAAGGGCAGAUGGAGAGGAGGAACCAGGAGCUGGGGAGGUUCCUGAGGAGUCACUUCAGGACCGGCAGGGAGAGUGGGCUCGAUUCCUUCCAUGGGCGGAGUACGUUCAGAACAUCACUCCUCCACUGGGUUGACCCCCUUCCAGUGUGUUCUGGGUUUUCAGCCGGCCCUGGCUCCGUGGACCCCAGGCCAGAUUGAAGCUCCUGCGAUUGAUGAGUGGUUCAGGCAUGCAGAAGAAGUCUGGAGUGAUGCUCACGUGAGACUCCAGCGCACCAUCCACCGUCAAAAGGGGCUGGCAGACCGCCACCACAGUGCGACUCCCGUGUACCACCCUACCACACUUCAAUCAGUGCAGGGAAGGAGACUGGUUAAAGAAGGAUUUUUAAGCCAUGAGACAAUUGAGACAUUGACUGUGUAUGUAUGCCAUUCAGAGGUUGAAUUGGCAAGACCAAAGAUUGAAGUGCCUUUGAACGGGGUAUGAUAGUAGAUGCAGGACGGACUGGUUUUUGUCAAGAACUGCAACGCUGCUGGGGUUUUCAUGUUCAACAGUUUCCUGUGUGUAUCCAGAAUAGUUUACCACCCAUAGUACAUCCAGGCAACUUGACACAACUGUGGGAAUCAUUGGAGUCAACAUGGACCAGCAUCCCUGUGGAACGCUUUCGACAACUUACAGUCAAUACCCCAAACGAAUUGAGGCUGUUCUGAGGGCCAAAAGCGGUGGGUGGGAUGGGGGGAGUACCCUGGACAAUGCAAUUUAUUUUAUGCUGCAUGUGUAAACAUAAUCCCUAAAAACCAUGGUUGGAAUAAAGAAAGGUCUGAAUGUGACAGAUUGUUUCAACUAAUUGGUUGGCAUUUUUGAUUGUUCAGCAGUUUAGCUAGUGUCCUUUGCAGCUGCUCUGGAAAGUUAAACUUUUCUUCUGCAUUGAAAAACACACAUUGUUCAGAAAUCACAUCCAGGGCCGGUUCUAGGGGGGUGCUGGAUUGGGCUUUGCCCACCCUAAAUUGAAUUUUAUUUAAAUGUAAACCAUAAAGCAGACGAGCAAGAUGUUGGUAAAGAUAUUGUCCUUAAUGUGACACAUACUGUAUUUCAGUAUUUUACAACUUGAGGUUAGAUGGUUCCUUACCGUAAAAGUAGUCUAUGGGCCAUGAUUAGUUUUUUCUUAAAACAGCCAUUAAAAACUUCAGCCUCCUUUUGCCACUGUUAGCAAAACAUGCAAUGUAAAGUGCAAUGUAAAUAAACCAGUUUUUUUUACGUUUUCUUUUUCCCCCCAGGCAAAUAAUUUAAAGUGAAUGACAAUAUAAAUCAAUCGUAUUUAUGAAGCCCUUCUUACAUCAGCUGAUGUCACAAUGUGCUGUAAAGAAACCCAGUCUAAAACCCUAAACAGCAAGCAAUGCAGAUGUAGAAGCA